UACGGACGUUAGUUUAUUCUAUGAUUAUGGAGAUAGCGAUUUUUCCAAUUUUUUAAUAGAAAAAGUGAUUUUUCUGUGCACUAUUUUAGUUCAUUCUGUUGCUCAAUGCCUAUUUAAUCUCCUGAAAAUGAAAGUUGUUAAUAAUGCACACGAGCACAUAAAGACCACCCAAAACAAGAGACCUGGGUUACCCACCCCUUGUAUAAUCCUGAUGUUUGGCUAUCAUUCUGGUUUACAAAUUUAUUUCUUUGGAUAGCAGCACUUCAGCCACCCUCGUCAAGAUGCUAUUAGACCGAUUAAAUUCAACAUUCAACAGUGCAAUGAGGACGAAAUUCAUCAUUGGGGAGGAAACUAAAUAAUUUUAGAACCAAAACUUUCCAGAAAAGUAGCCAGAAGAUUUAUUCACCUCAACAUAGACAUCAGCAUGUCCAUCAGCCACCUUGAAUAUUAAUAUACAUUUUAUAUUGUCAAUAAAAAAUAAUUCGUUAAUAAACA
This is a long non-coding RNA of Sitophilus oryzae (rice weevil), 495 nucleotides long. RefSeq lists it as uncharacterized. The record is from RefSeq and is a predicted model, not a curated record. NCBI's taxonomy places the organism in Eukaryota, Metazoa, Arthropoda, Insecta, Coleoptera, Curculionidae. The transcript is spliced from 3 exons.